AUGUUCUUUUGGUUUACUUAAAAGAUUUGGUCUGCUCACUGAAUGUUUAAAGAGCUGCAGUAUUAUGACUGUACAAAGGUAGCAUAAUCAUUAGUCUUUUAAUUGGGGGCUUGUAUGAAAGGCUUGACUGGAAAAUACUAUCUUAAGUUGAAUAAAUGAAGUUUUCGUUUUUGUUAAAAGACAAAAAUGUGCGUAAGGGACAAGAAGACCCUUUUAAACUUAAUUAAGGUUGUGUUGUUUUUUGUAUUAUUUAUUGGGACAACAUAGAUAAAAUUUGGCUGGGGCGGCAGAUAUGAAAAACAAUAUCUGAGAUAAAUAUAAAGCUGGUUUUAAGAUCCUUUUAGUAGGAAAAAGGAAGAAGUUACUAAAGGGAUAACAGCGUGAUAUAUUUUGAGAGUUCUUAUUGACAAAUGUGUUUGCGA
Molecule: ribosomal RNA, 422 nt
Filed under: Acropoditius kinzelbachi
Lineage: Eukaryota; Metazoa; Arthropoda; Diplopoda; Julida; Julidae
Description: partial small subunit ribosomal RNA
Rfam family: Bacterial large subunit ribosomal RNA
Source: RNAcentral